Aphidius gifuensis is the source of this 1904-nucleotide long non-coding RNA. RefSeq lists it as uncharacterized. The record is from RefSeq and is a predicted model, not a curated record. Lineage: Eukaryota; Metazoa; Arthropoda; Insecta; Hymenoptera; Braconidae. The transcript has 7 exons.
ACUUUUUUCAAUUACUAGUUCGAAAAAAUUUAUGUAGAUUAAAUAGUUGGUGCAAAAUAGCUCGUGGUUUUCAAUUAUCAAAAAAAGUGCAAGUGUGUAAAUUAAAUACAUUAUCGUGGCUAAUUAAUAAUAGUAUAUGUUUUUUUCUUUUUCAAGUUAUAUUGUGCGAAUUUGGACGUUAUGUUAUGUGCAAGUGUUUAAUUAAUAUAAAUUGAAUUUUUAAUUAAAUAAUGUGAAAAUUAUAAUAAAUAUGGCAAUUCAAGUGUGACAGUGAUAUAGUGAAAUAGUGAAAGUGUGUAAAUUUCAAUAGCGCCUGGACGUGAUUGGAUAAUGGCAGACUACCUGGACAACUUCUACAGGGUUUUGCUGUCUCCUGUCUGCUGUCUGCUGUUUGCUGUCAUAAGUUAUUGAAAAAUAUGGCUGAAACGUCUAAGGUGUUAAUGUGAUGCAUAAAACACAAUUAUUAAAACUGGAACAAAAAAUCAAUGACUAAAUUGGAUUGUCAUGGGAGACAAAAUUAUUUUUGAGUACAUUUAACAUCGAAUUUAUCCACGAUGAAAAAAACUAAUAAUUGUUAAAAUAUGCAAAAGUUUCAAUGAUGAAGAAAAUUAUAAAACAAAAAUGUUAAAAAAAAGUUACUGCUCAAUUUGAAAUCGUUAAGACAAUUGAGGCUACUUGUAUGCUAAAAUAUAACAUGAAACAUACCAAGUCAAUGAUGAUAUUGUUGAAAGUGACAUAAUGUACUUGAAUCUUCAUUUGUCUUACCAAGUGCUAUGAAGUAAGAGCAGAAAAAAAGGGUGGCCAGGAAUUACAAGGACGAAAGUCUUGGAUAUUUAUUAAAUGAAGAGAAAGAUACAACAAAAGGAUGACCAGGAAUUAUAUAAAUAAAUGUCGUCCCAAAUGACAAUUAACAAGGCUCUUGGAAUUUCAUUGACAUCAGAGCAUUUACAACUAAAAAUGGCAACAGAUACAAAAAAUAGAUAGCCAGUUAUUAUUUGGAAAAUAUGUCUAAAUAAGUUACAAAGAUCUUGGCACUUUAUUAAACAACAAAUGAUGUGAGUGAACUUAAAUAAUCUGCAUUGCACUGACAUACAGAGAUGAAACUAAAGUGAGAUUAUUCGACGAGUAAGUGUACUAUAUCAUCACGAUUAGCAAGUGGUGGAAAUGACGAUGAUCGUGAUGCCAGCACCACCAGUGAAAAUUUGAUUAUGAUUCCUGUGAAGCCCUUGCUGAGAUGGAUCCAAUAGAGUCCUUUUCAGUUUAUUCCAUGAUUUGUAAUUCGAGCUGAUUAACAACAAUGAUUUAAAAUUAAAAAUUUAUUAUAUAUUGAAAAAAAAAAAAAAUUGUCUUGAUAUUUAUCAUUUUUUUUUUGUCUUAGGAAAAAUCAUAUAACAUUGUCAAUUGUACCAUGUAAAUCAUCUUUUGUGCAUUAAUUCAUCAAUCAUCAUAUGAACCAGCAGCAACAUAAGAAAUAUAGUAGUGAGACCAUCUUCAUAAUGUUAUGCUUCAACAAUGAUGAAUCCCUGAUAAUAAAAACUUAUUCCUCAAUUAUUAUGAAUGUCAACUUCAAUUGGAUUUACAAAUAAUUGAAUUUGAAUGAAUCUUAACACUUGAAGAAUUAUUUAAUAUGAUUUUAUGAGAAAACUUUACCUUUUUUUUACUACGAAAUUCAAGACCAUGACAUGGUUCUAGUGUUAUUGAUUUUUAUGCUCUUUUUAAUGUACCACCACUUAUUGUUGAUGUUAUUAUUAUUGGUCGAACCUCGCUUUAGAGUUGCAAGAACGCACUGCUCUCUGUUGAAAAAAAUGUACAAAAUAUUAUAACACAGCUAGCUCGAGAUCUUCUUUUCAAAUUGAUAAAUCGUUUUCAAAUAAUAAUAGUAUUACAAAGUGAAUUAUCAAGCU